GAAACGACUGCUAAGACUGGAUAGGAGAUAAGAAGGCAUCUUCUUAUUUUUAAAAGACCUAGCAAUAGGUAUGCUUAGAGAGGAGUUUGCGUCACAUUAGUUAGUUGGUGGGGUAAAAGCCUACCAAGACGAUGAUGUGUAGCCGGGCUGAGAGGUCAAACGGCCACAUUGGGACUGAGACACGGCCCAAACUCCUACGGGAGGCAGCAGUAAGGAAUUUUCGGCAAUGGAGGAAACUCUGACCGAGCAACGCCGCGUGAACGAUGAAGUAUUUCGGUACGUAAAGUUCUUUUAUUAGGGAAGAAAAGAUGGUGGAAAAACCAUUAUGACGGUACCUAAUGAAUAAGCCCCGGCUAACUAUGUGCAAGCAGCCGCGGUAACACAUAGGGGGCAAGCGUUAUCCGGAAUUAUUGGGCGUAAAGGGUGCGUAGGCGGUUAAAUAAGUUUAUGGUCUAAGUGCAAUGCUUAACGUUGUGAUGCUAUAAAAACUGUUUAGCUAGAGUUGGAUAGAGGCAAGUGGAAUUCCAUGUGUAGUGGUAAAAUGCGUAAAUAUAUGGAGGAACACCAGGAGCGAAGGCGGCUUGCUGGGUCUUAACUGACGCUGAGGCACGAAAGCGUGGGGAGCAAACAGGAUUAGAUACCCUGGUAGUCCACGCCCUAAACGAUGAGUACUAAACGUUGGGUAAAACCAGUGUUGAAGUUAACACAUUAAGUACUCCGCCUGAGUAGUACGUACGCAAGUAUGAAACUUAAAGGAAUUGACGGGACUCCGCACAAGCGGUGGAUCAUGUUGUUUAAUUCGAGGUACCCGAAAAACCUCACCAGGUCUUGACAUGCUUUUGCAAAGUUGUAGAAAUACAGUGGAGGUUAUCAAUUGCACAGGUGGUGCAUGGUUGUCGUCAGCUCGUGUCGUGAGAUGUUGGGUUAAGUCCCGCAACGAGCGCAACCCUUGUUGUUAAUUGCCAGCAUGUAAUGAUGGGGACUUUAGCAAGACUGCCAGUGAUAAAUUGGAGGAAGGUGGGGACGACGUCAAAUCAUCAUGCCCCUUAUGACCUGGGCUACAAACGUGAUACAAUGGCUGUUACAAAGGGUAGCUAUAGCGUAAGCUUUUGGCGAAUCUCAAAAAAGCAGUCUCAGUUCGGAUUGAAGUCUGCAACUCGACUUCAUGAAGUUGGAAUCGCUAGUAAUCGCGAAUCAGCAUGUCGCGGUGAAUACGUUCUCGGGGUUUGUACACACCGCCCGUCA
This 1245-nucleotide ribosomal RNA is filed under the name Phytoplasma sp. RNAcentral's name for it is "bacterial SSU rRNA". It matches the Rfam family "Bacterial small subunit ribosomal RNA", at positions 153 to 1399 of the family's 1533-position model. Lineage: Bacteria; Bacillati; Mycoplasmatota; Mollicutes; Acholeplasmatales; Acholeplasmataceae. The record is from RNAcentral.